GGGGCUGUGGCUCAGAGGUAGAGCCUCGUCUAGCAUGCGUGAGGCACUGGGUUCAAUCCUCAGCACCACA
RNAcentral lists this transfer RNA (70 nucleotides) under Marmota monax (woodchuck). RNAcentral describes it as "tRNA.Ala". Lineage: Eukaryota; Metazoa; Chordata; Mammalia; Rodentia; Sciuridae. The record is from RNAcentral.